Molecule: ribosomal RNA, 466 nt
Filed under: uncultured bacterium
Lineage: Bacteria
Description: partial 16S ribosomal RNA
Rfam family: Bacterial small subunit ribosomal RNA
Source: RNAcentral
GACGAACGCUGGCGGCGCGCCUAACACAUGCAGGUCGAACGAGCGAGCGAGAGCUUGCUUUCUCGAGCGAGUGGCGAACGGGUGAGUAACGCGUGAGGAACCUGCCUCAAAGAGGGGGACAACAGUUGGAAACGACUGCUAAUACCGCAUAAGCCCACGGUGCCGCAUGGCACAGAGGGAAAAGGAGCAAUCCGCUUUGAGAUGUCCUCGCGUCCGAUUAGCUAGUUGGUGAGGUAAUGGCCCACCAAGGCGACGAUCGGUAGCCGGACUGAGAGGUUGAACGGCCACAUUGGGACUGAGACACGGCCCAGACUCCUACGGGAGGCAGCAGUGGGGAAUAUUGCACAAUGGGGGAAACCCUGAUGCAGCGACGCCGGGUGGAGGAAGAAGGUCUUCGGAUUGUAAACUCCUGUUGUUGGGGAAGAUAAUGACGGUACCCAACAAGGAAGUGACGGCUAACUACGUA